This 185-nucleotide ribosomal RNA is filed under the name uncultured bacterium. RNAcentral's name for it is "partial 16S ribosomal RNA". It matches the Rfam family "Bacterial small subunit ribosomal RNA", at positions 1316 to 1500 of the family's 1533-position model. The record is from RNAcentral.
CUGCAUGAAGUCGGAAUUGCUAGUAAUCGCAGAUCAGCAUGCUGCGGUGAAUACGUUCCCGGGCCUUGUACACACCGCCCGUCACACCAUGGGAGUCGGUAACACCCGAAGUCGGUAGCCUAACCGUAAGGAGGGCGCCGCCGAAGGUGGGAUUGAUGACUGGGGUGAAGUCGUAACAAGGUACC